This 213-nucleotide long non-coding RNA is filed under the name Dasypus novemcinctus (nine-banded armadillo). RNAcentral describes it as "lncRNA (ENSDNOG00000052525.1)". The record is from RNAcentral. Lineage: Eukaryota; Metazoa; Chordata; Mammalia; Cingulata; Dasypodidae.
AAGUGGUUCCCAGUGCCUAACGGCGCUAGUAGCCGAUAUUCAACAAAUCAAAAGGAUGCCUUAAAAAAUGCAAUCCUGGAAUGUGGAACUUGAGGAACCAUGGUGCUAUGAAGCAGUUCUUGUCCGCACUUCUGCUUCCACAGUUCAAGAUGCCAUCAUUUCUCACCUGACUCAAUGCCUCCUAUAGGAAUGGAUAGGUCUACAAAUCACCAA